GGUAAGGUGGCUCAGUGAUAGAGUGCUUGCCUUAUAGGCAUGAGGCCCUGGGUUCGAUUCCUCAGCACCA
Molecule: non-coding RNA, 70 nt
Organism: Dipodomys ordii (Ord's kangaroo rat)
Lineage: Eukaryota; Metazoa; Chordata; Mammalia; Rodentia; Heteromyidae
Source: Rfam